This 492-nucleotide ribosomal RNA is filed under the name uncultured bacterium. RNAcentral describes it as "partial 16S ribosomal RNA". It matches the Rfam family "Bacterial small subunit ribosomal RNA", at positions 29 to 507 of the family's 1533-position model. The record is from RNAcentral.
AGUGAACGCUGGUGGUAGGCCUAACACAUGCAAGUCGAACGGCAGCACAGUAAGAGCUUGCUCUUACGGGUGGCGAGUGGCGGACGGGUGAGGAAUACAUCGGAAUCUACUUUUUCGUGGGGGAUAACGUAGGGAAACUUACGCUAAUACCGCACACGACCUACGGGUGAAAGCAGGGGAUCUUCGGACCUUGCGCGAUUGAAUGAGCCGAUGUCGGAUUAGCUAGUUGGCGGGGUAAAGGCCCACCAAGGCGACGAUCCGUAGCUGGUCUGAGAGGAUGAUCAGCCACACUGGAACUGAGACACGGUCCAGACUCCUACGGGAGGCAGCAGUGGGGAAUAUUGGACAAUGGGCGCAAGCCUGAUCCAGCCAUACCGCGUGGGUGAAGAAGGCCUUCGGGUUGUAAAGCCCUUUUGUUGGGAAAGAAAAGCAGCAGGUUAAUACCCCGCUGUUCUGACGGUACCCAAAGAAUAAGCACCGGCUAACUUCGUG